CCUACGGGUGGCAGCAGUGAGGAAUAUUGGUCAAUGGCCGGAAGGCUGAACCAGCCAAGUCGCGUGAGGGACGACUGCCCUAUGGGUUGUAAACCUCUUUUAUAAGGGAAGAAUAACUGCUACGUGUAGCAUGAUGCCUGUACCUUAUGAAUAAGCAUCGGCUAACUCCGUGCCAGCAGCCGCGGUAAUACGGAGGAUGCGAGCGUUAUCCGGAUUUAUUGGGUUUAAAGGGUGCGUAGGCGGUCCGGAAAGUCAGCGGUAAAAGCCCGGGGCUCAACCCCGGCGAGCCGUUGAAACUGUCGGACUAGAGACGGCGAGAAGUACGCGGAAUGCGCGGUGUAGCGGUGAAAUGCAUAGAUAUCGCGCAGAACUCCGAUUGCGAAGGCAGCGUACCGGCGCCGGACUGACGCUGAGGCACGAAAGCGUGGGUAUCGAACAGGAUUAGAUACCCGAGUAGUC
RNAcentral lists this ribosomal RNA (459 nucleotides) under uncultured bacterium. RNAcentral's name for it is "partial 16S ribosomal RNA". It matches the Rfam family "Bacterial small subunit ribosomal RNA", at positions 338 to 795 of the family's 1533-position model. The record is from RNAcentral.